This 862-nucleotide ribosomal RNA is filed under the name Microbacterium hatanonis. RNAcentral's name for it is "bacterial SSU rRNA". It matches the Rfam family "Bacterial small subunit ribosomal RNA", at positions 41 to 914 of the family's 1533-position model. Lineage: Bacteria; Bacillati; Actinomycetota; Actinomycetes; Micrococcales; Microbacteriaceae. The record is from RNAcentral.
GGCGUGCUUAACACAUGCAAGUCGAACGGUGAAGGAGAGCUUGCUCUUUGGAUCAGUGGCGAACGGGUGAGUAACACGUGAGCAAUCUGCCCCUGACUCUGGGAUAACAGUUGGAAACAGCUGCUAAUACCGGAUAUGAGACGUGACCGCAUGGUCGACGUUUGGAAAGAAUUUCGGUCAGGGAUGAGCUCGCGGCCUAUCAGCUUGUUGGUGAGGUAAUGGCUCACCAAGGCGUCGACGGGUAGCCGGCCUGAGAGGGUGACCGGCCACACUGGGACUGAGACACGGCCCAGACUCCUACGGGAGGCAGCAGUGGGGAAUAUUGCACAAUGGGCGAAAGCCUGAUGCAGCAACGCCGCGUGAGGGACGACGGCCUUCGGGUUGUAAACCUCUUUUAGCAGGGAAGAAGCGAAAGUGACGGUACCUGCAGAAAAAGCGCCGGCUAACUACGUGCCAGCAGCCGCGGUAAUACGUAGGGCGCAAGCGUUAUCCGGAAUUAUUGGGCGUAAAGAGCUCGUAGGCGGUUUGUCGCGUCUGCUGUGAAAACUGGAGGCUCAACCUCCAGCCUGCAGUGGGUACGGGCAGACUAGAGUGCGGUAGGGGAGAUUGGAAUUCCUGGUGUAGCGGUGGAAUGCGCAGAUAUCAGGAGGAACACCGAUGGCGAAGGCAGAUCUCUGGGCCGUAACUGACGCUGAGGAGCGAAAGGGUGGGGAGCAAACAGGCUUAGAUACCCUGGUAGUCCACCCCGUAAACGUUGGGAACUAGUUGUGGGGUCCAUUCCACGGAUUCCGUGACGCAGCUAACGCAUUAAGUUCCCCGCCUGGGGAGUACGGCCCGCAAGGCUAAACUCAAAGGAAUUGAC